Molecule: long non-coding RNA, 406 nt
Filed under: Elaeis guineensis (African oil palm)
Lineage: Eukaryota; Viridiplantae; Streptophyta; Magnoliopsida; Arecales; Arecaceae
Description: long non-coding RNA (EGUI_LNC025200)
Source: RNAcentral
CCGACGUUCGCGGCGGCUUUCGGCUGGUGCUGAAAUGGGCCACGAACGAGUGCUCGAGCUGCGUAAAGGGAUGGAUACUGCCCAAUCGAAGACCAGAGUACCAAGCCCUGGCAGCCUUGCGGAGCGUGGUGGGGAAGCCGAUGCAGAAAAGAGCGUCGGUUGCCCCUUGAAUCGUCAUGAGAGCUUUGUAGCUCUCGAGGUGGUCGACUGGGUCGGUGGAGCCGUCGUAUGGCUCCACGUGCGGCAUCUUGAACCGACUGGGAAUCGGCUCGUCGAGGACCAGUCGGGAGAGAGGUUGGGCGGGCGACAAGUCGACGUCGUUCGAAGACCUCUGACCGUCCGUCUGUAGUUGGGCGAGUCGGCGGUCGAUUUCCUCGAACCGUCGCUCGUAGUCGUCCGCUCGUCG